RNAcentral lists this ribosomal RNA (253 nucleotides) under uncultured bacterium. RNAcentral's name for it is "partial 16S ribosomal RNA". It matches the Rfam family "Bacterial small subunit ribosomal RNA", at positions 524 to 776 of the family's 1533-position model. The record is from RNAcentral.
UACGUAGGGGGCUAGCGUUGUCCGGAAUCAUUGGGCGUAAAGCGCACGUAGGCGGAUUUGUAAGUCAGGGGUGAAAUCCCGGGGCUCAACCUCGGAACUGCCUUUGAUACUGCAAGUCUUGAGUCCGAUAGAGGUGAGUGGAAUUCCUAGUGUAGAGGUGAAAUUCGUAGAUAUUAGGAAGAACACCAGUGGCGAAGGCGGCUCACUGGAUCGGUACUGACGCUGAGGUGCGAAAGCGUGGGGAGCAAACAGG